RNAcentral lists this ribosomal RNA (301 nucleotides) under uncultured bacterium. Its description in RNAcentral is "partial 16S ribosomal RNA". It matches the Rfam family "Bacterial small subunit ribosomal RNA", at positions 509 to 808 of the family's 1533-position model. The record is from RNAcentral.
CAGUCGCCACGGGAAUACGGAGGGUGCAAGCGUUAAUCGGAAUUACUGGGCGUAAAGCGCACGCAGGCGGUUUGUUAAGUCAGAUGUGAAAUCCCCGAGCUUAACUUGGGAACUGCAUUUGGAACUGGCAAGCUAGAGUCUUGUAGAGGGGGGUAGAAUUCAGGUGUAGCGGUGAAAUGCGUAGAGAUCUGGAGGAAUACCGGUGGCGAAGGCGGCCCCCUGGACAAAGACUGACGCUCAGGUGCGAAAGCGUGGGGAGCAAACAGGAUUAGAUACCCGCGUAGUCCCUGUCUCUUAUACA